Callorhinchus milii (elephant shark) is the source of this 78-nucleotide small nucleolar RNA. Lineage: Eukaryota; Metazoa; Chordata; Chondrichthyes; Chimaeriformes; Callorhinchidae. The record is from Ensembl.
UGACAAUUUCUCCGGAAUCUCUGUAAACCAUUGAUGAUAACCAUUGAACCCCUUUUUGCUGAUGGCUGUGGAUUAGUU